UUGUCGGAGUUCUAGAAGGAGAUCUAAGUCAGCUCUCCGAUAUUUAGAGUUGCUCAAUUCAUUAUAUUAUUUCACUCUUGUUGAUGGCAAUCCGAUCUCGAGCGGUAUCAUUGCUUCUGUCCCAUAAGCAAAAUUGAAAGGGGAUUUUUCGAUUGGUAUGUGGGGAGUCAUUCAAUACGCCCAUAAGAUCAGAUAUAGUUCUUCCAUCCAGAAGUCUUUGGCUUCAUUCAGUCAGAUUUUUAGCCCAUGUA
This 251-nucleotide long non-coding RNA is filed under the name Elaeis guineensis (African oil palm). Its description in RNAcentral is "long non-coding RNA (EGUI_LNC005063)". The record is from RNAcentral. Lineage: Eukaryota; Viridiplantae; Streptophyta; Magnoliopsida; Arecales; Arecaceae.